Molecule: non-coding RNA, 125 nt
Organism: Anaeromyces robustus
Lineage: Eukaryota; Fungi; Neocallimastigomycota; Neocallimastigomycetes; Neocallimastigales; Neocallimastigaceae
Source: Rfam
GGGAAGUUGGCCGAGGGGUUAAGGCGUUAAUAAUUGUUAAAUAUGACUUGUUGAAAGUCAUUAACAGCAAAAAUAAUUAAUUUAAUACGCUCUGUCGUUCGUGAGUUCGAAUCUCACACUUCCCA